This 253-nucleotide ribosomal RNA is filed under the name uncultured bacterium. RNAcentral describes it as "partial 16S ribosomal RNA". It matches the Rfam family "Bacterial small subunit ribosomal RNA", at positions 524 to 776 of the family's 1533-position model. The record is from RNAcentral.
GACAGAGGUGCCAAGCGUUAGGCGGAAUCACUGGGCUUAAAGCGUGUGUAGGCGGAUCGUUAAGUACCUUGUGAAAUCCCACGGCUCAACCGUGGAACUGCUGGGUAUACUGGCGAUCUUGAGCCACCUAGGGGCGAGCGGAACAAGCGGUGGAGCGGUGAAAUGCGUAGAUAUCGCUUGGAACGCCAACGGUGAAAACAGGCAACUGGGGUCGCGCCGACGCUGAGACACGAAAGCCAGGGGAGCGAACGGG